GGUACGAUCGGUGACAGGUGGUGCAUGGUUGUCGUCAGCUCGUGUCGUGAGAUGUUGGGUUAAGUCCCGCAACGAGCGCAACCCCUAUUGUUAGUUGCCAUCAUUCAGUUGGGCACUCUAGCGAGACUGCCGGUAAUAAACCGGAGGAAGGUGGGGAUGACGUCAAAUCAUCAUGCCCCUUAUGACCUGGGCUACACACGUGCUACAAUGGUUGGUACAACGAGUUGCGAGUCGGUGACGGCGAGCUAAUCUCUUAAAGCCAAUCUCAGUUCGGAUUGUAGGCUGCAACUCGCCUACAUGAAGUCGGAAUCGCUAGUAAUCGCGGAUCAGCACGCCGCGGUGAAUACGUUCCCGGGCCUU
RNAcentral lists this ribosomal RNA (360 nucleotides) under uncultured Streptococcus sp. RNAcentral describes it as "bacterial SSU rRNA". It matches the Rfam family "Bacterial small subunit ribosomal RNA", at positions 1021 to 1382 of the family's 1533-position model. Lineage: Bacteria; Bacillati; Bacillota; Bacilli; Lactobacillales; Streptococcaceae. The record is from RNAcentral.